AUGCUGGCUAAACAAUGCUGGAGGCUCAUUGAGAAUUUUGACUCACUUUGUGCUAGAGUUUUAAGGGCCAGAUACUAUCCUUCUGGGGAUAUCUUGAACUGCGAAUUGAAGAAGGGUUCAUCCUUUGUGUGGCAAAGUAUUUGGGCAGGAAUACAAACGUUCAAAAAAGGGUGCAUUUGGAGAGUUGGAGAUGGUACAAAGAUAGACAUAUGGAGUGAUUGUUGGAUUCCCAGCAGUGCAUCAAGGAAAAUUGUUACUGUCCGCGGGAACCAAUUAUUCACUAAGGUCAGUGACCUCAUCGACCCUUCCUCGGGUGAGUGGGAUGAACAUUUGAUAAGGGGCACUUUAUGGCCUAUAGAUGUUGAUCGGAUAUUGGAAAUUCCUUUGUUUCGGCAACAUACAGAGGAUUACAUAGCAUGGCACUUAAGUAAGAACGGUAUUUUCGCGGUACGCUCAGCGUAUUAUAAAUAG
RNAcentral lists this ribosomal RNA (471 nucleotides) under Triticum aestivum (bread wheat). RNAcentral describes it as "partial small subunit ribosomal RNA". Lineage: Eukaryota; Viridiplantae; Streptophyta; Magnoliopsida; Poales; Poaceae. The record is from RNAcentral.